AUGGCUCAGGAUGAACGCUAGCGGCAGGCGUAACACAUGCGAAGCGCGGGGCGAGGCGCGGGUAGCGAAUACCGUGGCGGCGACCGGCGGAAGGGUGCGUAACGCGUGAGCAACAUGCCCGUCUCAGGGGGAUAACCGAUGGAAACGUCGCCUAAUACCCCGUAACAACAGUGAUCGCAUGGUCAUUGUUUGAAAGCUCCGGCGGAGACGGAUUGGCUCGCGUGACAUUAGCUGGUUGGCGGGGUAACGGCCCACCAAGGCGACGAUGUCUAGGGGUUCUGAGAGGAAGGUCCCCCACACUGGAACUGAGACACGGUCCAGACUCCUACGGGAGGCAGCAGUGAGGAAUAUUGGUCAAUGGGCGGAAGCCUGAACCAGCCAUGCCGCGUGCAGGAAUGAGGCCCUAUGGGGUCGUAAACUGCUUUUGCUGCGGAGCAAUAAGUGCUACGUGUAGUGCGAUGAGAGUACGCAGCGAAUAAGCAUCGGCUAACUCCGUGCCAGCAGCUGC
This 508-nucleotide ribosomal RNA is filed under the name uncultured bacterium. RNAcentral's name for it is "bacterial SSU rRNA". It matches the Rfam family "Bacterial small subunit ribosomal RNA", at positions 19 to 518 of the family's 1533-position model. The record is from RNAcentral.